ACGGAAGGCAGCAGUGGGGAAUAUUGCACAAUGGGCGCAAGCCUGAUGCAGCGACGCCGCGUGAGCGAAGAAGUAUUUCGGUAUGUAAAGCUCUAUCAGCAGGGAAGAAAAUGACGGUACCUGACUAAGAAGCCCCGGCUACUACGUGCCAGCAGCCGCGGUAAUACGUAGGGGGCAAGCGUUAUCCGGAUUUACUGGGUGUAAAGGGAGCGUAGACGGCGCUGCAAGUCAGAUGUGAAAGGCUGGGGCUUAACCCCGGGACUGCAUUUGAAACUGCAGUGCUCGAGUGCCGGAGAGGUAAGCGGAAUUCCUAGUGUAGCGGUGAAAUGCGUAGAUAUUAGGAGGAACACCAGUGGCGAAGGCGGCUUACUGGACGGUAACUGACGUUGAGGCUCGAAAGCGUGGGGAGCAAACAGGAUUAGAUACCCUGGUA
RNAcentral lists this ribosomal RNA (433 nucleotides) under uncultured Blautia sp. RNAcentral describes it as "partial 16S ribosomal RNA". It matches the Rfam family "Bacterial small subunit ribosomal RNA", at positions 341 to 792 of the family's 1533-position model. The record is from RNAcentral. Lineage: Bacteria; Bacillati; Bacillota; Clostridia; Lachnospirales; Lachnospiraceae.